AACGAACGCUGGCGGCAGGCCUAACACAUGCAAGUCGAGCGCCCAGCAAUGGGAGCGGCGGACGGGUGAGUAACGCGUGGGAAUUUUUCCUGGAGUACGGAACAACCGAGGGAAACUUCGGCUAAUACCGUAUGAUGCCGAGAGGCCAAAGAUUUAUCGCUCUGGGGUGAGCCCGCGUCAGAUUAGGUAGUUGGUGGGGUAAAGGCCUACCAAGCCUGCGAUCUGUAGCUGGUCUGAGAGGACGAUCAGCCACACUGGGACUGAGACACGGCCCAGACUCCUACGGGAGGCAGCAGUGGGGAAUCUUGCGCAAUGGGCGAAAGCCUGACGCAGCCAUGCCGCGUGAGUGAAGAAGGUCUUAGGAUUGUAAAGCUCUUUCGCUCGUGACGAUGAUG
RNAcentral lists this ribosomal RNA (395 nucleotides) under uncultured bacterium. RNAcentral's name for it is "bacterial SSU rRNA". It matches the Rfam family "Bacterial small subunit ribosomal RNA", at positions 29 to 453 of the family's 1533-position model. The record is from RNAcentral.